AUUCAUUAUUUGCGAAAUAGUUAAUGUUUCGGCAUCGAUGGAACAUUACAUUCAACCCCUUAUAUUUUUGUAGUAUCGCAAGUAUAUUAUAAUUGAGAUAUGGAAAAAAUAUACACAAUAAUAUACACCACCCUUUAUUUUCGCAAAUAUCAAAUUCAUUGAAUUUAAACGAUGAAAAAUUUGUAAAAGGAAAUUCCGAUCAUCACCUCAAUAUGUCUGUGUGUGUGAGUGUAAAAUGACUCAGAUGAUUAGCCAACAAGAUCCCCAGAAAUUAUCAAAAAUCAUCGACCAUCCCUAUUAUUAUUUAUUAUUUACAUAACUAUUGAUCGAAUACUUAGUAGAUUAUUCAUGCUCCAAUAAACCGGGAACAAGGGGAUACCCUGUCGAUCAGAAGGAUCCAAUGCUAAAUGAGAAACCACAGAACCUUAAAUUUAUUUUUAAGAAUUUUGUAGCAUCUUUAACACGCCCUCUUAGAGCACGAACUCUCCCACGCCCUAUGUUUUCGACGAUGCAUCAUCAAUAGAAAUUAAUAAAGUUCAAGUCUCAUUCUAACAAUCCCCAGGAACAAUGUCCACCAAUCUCCGAGCUUGAUGUAGAGUGUAAAAAUAUCAAGUAUCAUUUUACCAAAACUAGAAAGAGAAUUAUUAUUGUGAACCAUUAUUGCAUUCAUGUUUACAACUGAUUCACAACUUUUCAAUCCCCCUCCAAUCCAGCAAAAUGACAAAAUUUUGUGUUAAAAAAUAUUUUUUUUCUCUUUAAGUAAGUACAUGUUGAGUAUAGAAUAUUAUGAAGAUACUGUACAUACAACAGUAUAAUUUGACUAUGCUGUCCUAACCUAACACCAAAAUCUUCAUAAAUAUUCUCUUUUGUAUAGUGUUGUGUGAUUAAGGUGAAAUCGGAAUCUUUCCUUCAGCGCAGGAGAACAGCCAUGAUAUUUUACUAAAGCCACUUUCACUUAACUAUAUGAUUGUAGGUAUAUUUUUUUUUCAAUACAUAGGUAGGUUCUUAGAUAUUCAAUUCACCACAACUCUCAUCCUCUUUCUCUGAUUCACGCCACUCUAAUAAACAUCAAGGCCUUCUUCCUCCCCACUGAUUAAUCAAUAAAAUAUCAUGUAUCUAAUUAUUAAUUUUCUUUUCUAUCACUUACCUACCUAAAUUGAAAAGAAAAUACAUCUAGUUUAUUUACACUUCGAUCAGAAUGUGUUUUUGGUGUAAAGUGUAUUUGUUUUCCGUCAUGAUCAACUUUUGUUAUGUAGAUAUUUUUCUAAGCAAAUUGUUUCAAAGUAAUUGUUUUUUUUUUUUUGUGUAAAGUGUAGUGUGUCGUGUGGAGUCUGUAAAAGGUACUUUGUAAAAACAUCUAUAGCCUGUAUAGACGUCUCAUGUGUUAAUGCGUGCAUAGCUAACUUCAAUAAUAAAUCGACUAAAGCGUUUGUACCACGUUUGUGCCCGAGUAGAACCGCCUUUCUUCGCCAAUUUACUACAAAAGCAAGACUAAGAGUGUAUGGUGUGUAAAUUACUUGAACCAAUUUGCACACUACUAACUGACGGUCCGAUAUUAUACCCAUAUUAGGGUCGGAUGGCCGUGUGUGAGAUGUCCCCACAUAUUAUUAAGUUAGUAGUUUUAAAAUGAAGUUAACUAUCUUUUAUAAAAAAAAAAAUUCUUUUAAGAUUUUACUCAAUAUAUUUUUUUUUUUAAAUUUUAUUUAACAUAAGUAGCAAUAAUUCUUGUAUCUACACUAGUUGAUCAUUUGGAAAAUAUUUGUGAAAUAAAGGUAACUUUUGGAAUAAGUUUAUUUUUUUAGCUAAAUAAGUACCUAUAUAAUAGGUAACUACUCAAUCAAGUCUUACAGAAACAAUAUACCAAAGUUUCCCUUAUAAAUGUGUGUGUGUGUGUCUGAACGAAGUAUCAAUAAACCCUUCAUUUCCCAGUUGUAUUUGUCAUGAUUAUAAAUCCCACUCAAUAUUAAAUAAGUAAAACUUCAUUCUUCAUCAUCCUUUAAUCAACUAUGUAAGACCUGGCCAGGUACCUUUAACAUUCUUAUCAUUCAGACUUUAAAAUGACGUUUAAAGUAGUUUUCUUCCUUCCACAUUCUUUGCCCUUUCAAUUUUUCGAAACAUUAUAAUCACGACAUAAUCCCCAGGAAAUGGCAAUGUAAAUACCCUACCCUUUUGUUUUCUCUGUAAAAGAAAAUUAUAUCAGAUCAAUUUUACCAAAAUUGAAAGUUCCUACUCUCAUGUAACAGACAAAUCCACCCCAAUAUUCCAUCGAUACCAAAACAUUAAAAUACCGCCAUCUAGUUUUUUUUUCUACAACCUAUUACACUAAUACACUAUUUAUUUUAUCAAAUAUGUCUAACUACUUCUUCUACUUCUACCAUUUUCUACCCUCAGUAACUACCUAAGUCGAAAAUAAUGUUACUAGGUAACUAAAAAUAUUUCUGAGAUAUUACAACUCUCCUUCACAACACAACCCCUAUUUGAAAAACACGGUCUCCAUUAUCCUUAUUCUAGGCUGUUUGUGUAAAUGUGCCUUACCUGUCUAACUGUCAAAUUUAUUAAAACUAAACUGUCAAUGUCAACCUGACAUAACCUUAACCUGUUUGGCUGUUUUUUUUUCCGCACUAAUCAAAAGAAAAGCAUGCGUCGUUGUGUUCAACAACAUCGAUCGCACGAAGAAAUCUAAUGUUUACCCGAUUAAACUUACGAAACUCUAAAAUAAUGAGUGAAUCUUACAGGACCAAACAUAACAAUGCAAACCCAACUACACUCUUUGUUGAACUAAAACCCAUGAUAAACCACUGAUCAAACCAUCCACUGUGACAAAACAUUCACAAUCCCUCACUAAUUAUAUACCAAAGUUACUAUUCUACAAUAAGAUAUGACAUACUUUUUGAAUGCUGAUGAUGAUGAUGAUGUUCUUUAUUUGACAACCAAACUCUGAGAUUAUAUACUAUGAAGUAAACAUCCUGACUCAGAUGAAGAAGUGAAUUGCAACCACGCUCAAAAUAGGAACAACUAAACUACCCACAUAGUUCUUAACUUACAAACAAUAUAUUGAUACUAAAUGAGGUCCUAGCCUACUUCACCUGGUCUAACACUUAAUGAACAACAAUAACUUGCUCUACAUUAAUUGUUUUCUAAAUUUAUUGUUAUGUCUGACCGCUACGCUAUCAUCACUAAAUAUUUUUUAUUAUUUUUUUCUUUCAAAUGAGAUUAAUGUUAUAUUUUCUUUUCUUUAUUAACUGUAACUCAUUGUAUUUGUUUAGGAAAAUGUCUGAUAACAUCUGUUACUAAUUGGCUCUCUGGAAUCUGAUAAUUAGACAUUUGGACAUUUCCGAUUAAUCUAAGUUAGCAUAGGUGGUGUUACAGUUCUAUGCCAACUCCUAUGAUCAAUAUUUUAUAAUAUAUCUACUUUUCCAAACAUUCAAGUAUAAUAAUUUAAGAGCCUAGUUUUUAAACACCUAGUCGAUGACAAGCAAAGAUCUGAUCCAGAAGCACAAUCAACCACAUCAACAAACCAAAGAACCCGCACAACAUAACCCAUACAACCAAUACCAAACUGAACCAACCCAGCCAAAAGGAUGAUUAAUAAUUAUAGACUAGUUGCUAUAACUACCGAUCCCCCCGCAACCAGGCCAGUCCAGCCCGGAACCAACCAUACAAGCUCCGCCACGCAAACUCCUCGAUCCACCGAUGCAGCCGACCGCACCUCCAGACCAAAAUCCCCACCCCUCAUCUACCUGGGCCAGAAUUUCUUUAUCUAUUCUAAUCAUUUCAGGUUGUUCAUAAGGACUAAAAUGCGCCGCGUUUUCGUUACAUUUGUUUUUUUUUUUUUAAAUAUAAUUUUUGAUUUUAAUAAAUGUUUUACUGCUUUUACCUAAAAUAAAACCAUAUCAUUAUUUUACCUACAACCCCUAUUCACUUAAAAUUCCCUAAUCAGCUACAUAAUCAGAGAGACCGUUCAUAGUGAUUCAGAGCAACACUAAUAUGACGUACCUAUAGAUAAAUCAGCCUUUAUACAAUUAUGUUUUAUGUUAAUCUCUUUAAAGGUAAGUAACUUAUUAAAUUUCAUAAAUAAUGUCCUGAAUAAGAAUCCAUUAUAUCCAACCCCUGAUGAUGAUUAUUAUUGUUUCCUCUCACUCCACAAGGAGCUUAGUCUUAUACAACCCCUAAUCUUUUAUAAUUCUGUAAUGAAAUACAUAACAUUACUACAACCCCUCCUUAUUAAGUAAAAUUUAAUAAAUGAAUUAUUUUCAUUUUCCUCAUCCUAACUUUAUUAACUACCUACCUAGCUAUCUUCUCAAAUUCUUUCCUAUUACGUACCGUUCCAAUACAAAACCUAGCCUCUUGCGCUUCCUAUUUCAUGAUAAAUAAUUCUUUCGUUUAUAAGUUCGAUCACUCCACGGCAACAAAUUGUGAUUAUAUCAAGGAUAUAAUCACUUUCCUACCCCUAGUAUGUAACAAAUCAUUACGAACAAAACGCAGAGAGACUUAUUAUAACGUAAACAUGUUGAGAGUAUUAGUAAAGUGAGAAAUUAUAACUUGCAGUGAUUUUGUGAAUGUAAAAUAAUGCAGACUGCCAAAAUAUUAUACUAGUCUGUGACGCAAUAAAAGUUACUCUGUUAAAAAAAAUAACCUUCUGUCUUUUUGUUGUUUGUGGUGCAAUGCUGCAUAAAGUUUUUCGAACUAAAAACAAACUUUUGAAACUUUCUUCUAUCCAUAAAAUUAAAAGAAAUGCCUUUAUGUGAAAACCGCCAUAUUGAGUAAAUAGUUACUUACUUAUCGCAAAGGCAAACAAAAAAACCUUAAUGUUUUUUCGAGACAAACAUAAAAGAACAGAAAACUAGCUGCCUGACAUCUAACAUGAAGAGAUGAAGCAAAUUCCCUAAUAUCCUGGUCUUUCGGUACCAAAUUGUAACGUUUCGCCCUACCUCCUGCCUAUUUAACUCCUACCUAAAGGAUUUACUAGAAGAUAUUUGAAAACACCUAACAAAACUAAGUUGAGUGAAAUAAAAGUGAAACAAAUACUGCUUUGAAUUGGCCAUGAAACAUCCAGGGAAACCCUACGUUGUGUUGUAACCCAAUAAACGAAAGAUAGUGCAUUAAAUAAAACUAUG
Molecule: long non-coding RNA, 5117 nt
Organism: Plutella xylostella (diamondback moth)
Lineage: Eukaryota; Metazoa; Arthropoda; Insecta; Lepidoptera; Plutellidae
Source: RefSeq, a predicted model, not a curated record